CAGCCGCCGCGGUAAUACCAACCCCGCGAGUGGUCGGGACGUUUAUUGGGCCUAAAGCGUCCGUAGCCGGGUUGGGAAGUCCUCCGGGAAAUCUGGCCGCUUAACGGUCAGAAUGCCGGAGGAUACUCCCAGCCUAGGGAGCGGGAGAGGCCGAGGGUAUUCCCGGAGUAGGGGUGAAAUCCUAUAAUCCCGGGAGGACCACCUGUGGCGAAGGCGCUCGGCUGGAACGCGUCCGACGGUGAGGGACGAAGGCCAGGGGAGCAAACCGGAUUAGAUACCCGGGUAGUCCUGGCGGUAAACGAUGCGGACUUUGUGUCGGACAAGCUAUGAGCUGGUCCGGUGCCGGAGGGAAACCGUUAAGUCCGCCGCCUGGGGAGUACGGCCGCAAGGCUGAAACUUAAAGGAAUUGGCGGG
This 414-nucleotide ribosomal RNA is filed under the name uncultured microorganism. Its description in RNAcentral is "bacterial SSU rRNA". It matches the Rfam family "Archaeal small subunit ribosomal RNA", at positions 459 to 872 of the family's 1478-position model. The record is from RNAcentral.